AUUGAACGCUGGCGGCAUGCUUUACACAUGCAAGUCGAACGGUAACAGGCCUUCCUGUGCUGUCGAGUGUUGGACGGGUGCGUAUUGCAUCCGAACGUACCCCCAGCUUGUGGAUCACGCAUCACAAGCUGUGCUCAUACCUCAUGUCAUCUGAUGUUUUAAGCCGGGUACCUCGCUGCAAUGUUUCGCCUUUCGCCUCUGGAACGGCCGAUUGCGGAUUAGGUAGUUGGUGGGGUAAAGUCCUACCAUACCGACGCUCUGUAGCUGGUCUGAGAGGACGACAGGACACACGGGAACUGAGACACGGCCCAGACUCCUACGGGAGGCAGAAGUGGGGAAUUGUGGACAAUGGGCGCAAGCCUGAUCAAGCAAUGCCGCGUGCGGGAAGAAGGCCUUCGGGUUGUAAACCGCUUUUGUACGGAAAGAAAAGGCUCUGGCUAAUACCUGGGGCUGAUGACGGUACCGUAAGAAUAAGCACCGGCUAACUACGUG
This 492-nucleotide ribosomal RNA is filed under the name uncultured bacterium. RNAcentral's name for it is "partial 16S ribosomal RNA". It matches the Rfam family "Bacterial small subunit ribosomal RNA", at positions 30 to 507 of the family's 1533-position model. The record is from RNAcentral.